RNAcentral lists this ribosomal RNA (443 nucleotides) under Mogibacterium timidum. RNAcentral's name for it is "bacterial SSU rRNA". It matches the Rfam family "Bacterial small subunit ribosomal RNA", at positions 28 to 449 of the family's 1533-position model. Lineage: Bacteria; Bacillati; Bacillota; Clostridia; Peptostreptococcales; Anaerovoracaceae. The record is from RNAcentral.
GAUGAACGCUGGCGGCGUGCCUAAUACAUGCAAGUCGAGCGAGAAGCUUGGAAAUGACGCUUCGGUUGAUUUUCCAAGCGGACAGCGGCGGACGGGUGAGUAACGCGUAGGCAACCUGCCCCUGACAGAGGGAUAGCCAUUGGAAACGAUGAUUAAAACCUCAUGACACCGUAGUAGCACAUGCUACAUCGGUCAAAGAUUUAUCGGUCAGGGAUGGGCCUGUGUCUGAUUAACUGGUUGGUGAGGUAACGGCUCACCAAGGUGACGAUCAGUAGCCGACCUGAGAGGGUGAUCGGCCACAUUGGAACUGAGACACGGUCCAAACUUCUACGGAAGGCAGCAGUAGGGAAUCUUGCACAAUGGGCGAAAGCCUGAUGCAGCAACGCCGCGUGAAAGGAUGAAAGGCCUUCGGGGUUGUAAAACUUUCUGUUUCUAAAGGGAAA